UCGAGCGAGUUCAUUUGUCCCGUAAUUUUCAAUUUUCACACGAGCCGCGUGACGAGCAAUUUUGAUAACAAGCAGGCGUGUGUUUUUCUUCGCCCCCCUCUAACGCUACUCGUGACAAACACUCGCAACUCGAUAAAAUACCGGCGGAAUAAAAAAAAUUGCAAAUAAUUUUCUUUCUCAUGCAGAUACUCUUCUAGUGAAAGAUGAAUCGAGAUUUCAGUAAUUACCCGCAAGACCGCAGCGAGGAAGAACAACUCAUUUACGAGACCAUUGCAACGUCUCUGGAACGCAUAAUUCUGAUGUCGAACAACAGGGCUUUCCGGGAGAAAUGCUUGAGACUUCUGCUGGUCAAUGGUGGCACAAUUGUUGAUCUCAAAAGCGCAAUUCUCUUGCGACUGUACCAGCAAGCAUCCAAUCGAAAGCGCAAAAGAUAGUUCACUUAUUUUCAACUGAGAUAUUUACAUGUAAAAUACACUAUGAAUUAUAAUAAAAUUCUCCAGAA
Long non-coding RNA from Phlebotomus papatasi, 502 nucleotides. RefSeq lists it as uncharacterized. The record is from RefSeq and is a predicted model, not a curated record. NCBI's taxonomy places the organism in Eukaryota, Metazoa, Arthropoda, Insecta, Diptera, Psychodidae. The transcript has 2 exons.